Xyrichtys novacula (pearly razorfish) is the source of this 260-nucleotide non-coding RNA. The record is from the annotation of a GenBank genome assembly. Lineage: Eukaryota; Metazoa; Chordata; Actinopteri; Labriformes; Labridae.
CGGGCAUUCAGAAGGCUUGCACACUGGGCUACCAGCUGAGGACGCUGUUUCUCCAUAUCGCGCCCAGGGGAAAGUCCCCGGACCCGUGGCAGAAAGUGCUCUGGAUGAUUCCAGUGUCGACAUGUGCUCUACCCCGUAAAGCCGAGACGUUCUCUGAAACUGAGCUUGGUGAUUGCAUGUCGACGUUGUCCAGAUUCAUAGUCAUGCAAGUAGGCAAAUACUGUCGGCUGAACAGAACGGGGCUCAUUCUCGGAAUGUCC